RNAcentral lists this small RNA (2199 nucleotides) under Pan troglodytes (chimpanzee). RNAcentral describes it as "processed transcript". Lineage: Eukaryota; Metazoa; Chordata; Mammalia; Primates; Hominidae. The record is from RNAcentral.
AGAGCGAAGGCUGCAGCGCGCCCGGCAGCCGGGAUGCAGCGGCGCCGCCCAAGCCUGGGGCGCAGGGGUCGGGGCACACGGGGAUAGGCCCGACGCGGGGCCGAAGGAAGGGUGGUCUUUCCCGCAGAGUUGCCGCUGGAGGACCGAAAGUUUUGCAGGCAGCCCUUGCUUCCAGCUUGUCACUCUCUCCCCGCGUCCCUGUCGCCCAACGCGAGGCGCCCCGGUUGGGGUCCCGACGGCUUGGUGGGGAGGAGCCGUGAGGGGUUGCGCCCCCCACCCCCACCCGAGCCAGGGAAGGGACCCUGGUGACCUCGCCUCCCAGCCCUCACCCCCGUCACCCCUUUCUUCUCUUUCCCGGAGGACUUUGGACCAUGGAGAUUCUGCAGUUGUUGCUCUGGGAGCUGAAACCAGUGGGUAGAUGUCGUUCUGAAACGCAGUUCUUCUUUUUGUAAAGGUGUGUCCUGAGGAACCUCAGAUUUGAAAGAAGAGUGAAUGGAAGUCAAAUGUGGAAACCACUCAAAUGUCCAUCAACUGAUGAAUGAAUAAACAAAUCGUGGUAUAUCCAUACAAGGAAUAUUAUUCACCCAUAAAAAGGAAUGAAGUCUUAAUACACCUACAACUGGAUGAACAUUGAAAACAUUAUGCUAUCCAUUCUGCUUCAGACCGGAAAGGAGAAACAGUCUUAUCUGCAUAAAAGUCCUGGUACUGCUGUAUCUCAUACUAUAAGUUCAGUUUUCUCCCUUCACCUGAGGGUAAGUUGAAGAAUAACUUCAUAAGCCAGGGAGAGAUACGUUUGGAUCAGGAGUUAGUGAUAACAGGGGGAGAAACACUACACCUAAUCCUCUUACCUGCUACAGGCAAUGUGGCAGAGAAUUCUCCACCUGGGACUUCAGUGCACAAGUUUUCUGUGAAGUUAUCAGCAUCACUGUCACCUGUGAUCCCAGGAUUUCCCCAGAUAAUCAACUCAAAUCCCCUCACUGAAGCUUUUAGGGUGAAUUGGCUGUCAGGCACCUACUUUGAGGUUGUCACCACUGGGAUGGAACAACUAGAUUUUGAAACAGGACCAAACAUAUUUGAUUUGCAGAUUUAUGUGAAGGAUGAGGUUGGUGUCACAGACCUGCAAGUCCUGACUGUCCAGGUAACAGAUGUGAAUGAGCCACCUCAGUUUCAAGGCAACUUGGCGGAAGGUCUAUACCUCUACAUAGUAGAAAGAGCAAACCCUGGAUUCAUUUACCAGGUUGAGGCCUUCGAUCCAGAAGACACAAGCCGAAACAUUCCCCUCAGUUGACUGGUACAAUCCAAGUGGCCCAAAGGAUAGACCGAGACGCAGGUGAAUUGAGACAAAAUCCCACCAUUUCCCUGGAAGUUCUAGUGAAGGACAGACCAUAUGGGGGUCAGGAGAAUCGCAUCCAGAUAACCUUCAUUGUGGAAGACGUCAACGACAAUCCUGCCACAUGCCAAAAGUUCACCUUCAGCAUUAUGGUGCCGGAAAGAACAGCCAAGGGGACGUUGCUUCUUGACCUGAACAAGUUCUGCUUUGAUGAUGACAGUGAGGCACCAAACAACAGAUUCAACUUCACCAUGCCAUCUGGAGUGGGGAGCGGCAGCAGAUUUUUACAGGAUCCAGCUGGCUCUGGGAAAAUUGUGCUGAUUGGUGAUCUAGACUACGAAAAUCCAAGUAACCUAGCAGCCGGCAAUAAAUAUACGGUGAUAAUCCAGGUGCAGGAUGUGGCCCCCCCUUACUAUAAAAAUAACGUCUACGUUUAUAUCCUAACAAGCCCAGAAAAUGAGUUUCCUCUCAUUUUUGAUAGGCCAUCCUAUGUAUUUGAUGUGUCAGAAAGAAGGCCGGCCCAGGGUCACCUAUCAGGUCCUGAGGAAAAACAUUUACUCUCCAUCUGCAUGGUACGUGCCAUUUGUCAUCACUUUGGGCUCCAUAUUGCUUCUGGGUCUCUUCGUGUACCUGGUCGUCCUAUUGGCCAAAGCCAUCCACAGACACUGCCCCUGCAAGACUGGGAAGAACAAGGAACCUCUGACAAAGAAAGGAGAAACGAAGACUGCAGAGAGAGACGUCGUGGUGGAAACUAUCCAGAUGAACACUAUCUUUGAUGGAGAAGCCAUAGAUCCAGUGACCGGGGAAACAUAUGAAUUCAACUCAAAAACUGGAGCCAGAAAGUGGAAAGAUCCACUAACCCAAAUGCC